GCUUUGUUCACUUCCUGUUCAUUUCCUGAUUCAGCUUAAAAGGCCCCCUCAGUGAGCAGGUGAACUUUUGCUCGUGUGACUCAGCAGAAGCCUGUGGAAAAACAAUACUAACACCAGGGAGUAACGGAGCAGCCGGAGAGAACUGUUGAGAUGAAGAGCUGCAGAAAACAAGUUAACACACCUCCAUCUUCUUAGCAAGGAGCUGUCAGCAGGUCGAGCGCAGGCCGCUCAGAGUGCAGAUGACAGGUGGAAGAGCAGAGCGGCUGCACUGGAAUGAAAAUGGCACGGCCCCGGACAGCACGGCGACGACACGUUUCAAGAGGCUCGCUGGUUCAGAGGCAGGAGAUGCUGUCCAGAUGCCUCUUUGCAGCGUUCAUUCCAUGAGUCAGAGUGUCGAUCACUGGUAGUGAGUGAGUGAGGGGGGAAGGGACAGUGUGUUUUUUUUUCUUCCAAGCUGUGAUCUUCAGGCUUCUGCUUUGGCAAGACAAUGGCAGAUGGGAAUGCAUCGAUAUUAGCAGAGGCCCUCUGCGUGCACAGACACGCCAUGCAGAGUUCAAGGGUGUCAUGCUCCUUCUCUGACUCUGCUGCUGUGUAACGUUUGUGUUCAGUUUCCAUCAUCGAGCCUCUUCUGUAAGCCUUUAAGGCAUCAAAAACAUGUCUCUACAUAUUCUUUAAUUUUUCCCUAGUGAUCCUCGGGGGUUCUUCUGAUACAACAUCUUCAAUUUUUACAGAAUUCAGCCGCAAAUCUUUGUGUGCUUUCUAUUCAGACACAACUCAAAGACAGGGCCAGUUGUUGUUCUGAGGCGAAAACCCCCAAAACACCUGCUUCAUCAUUAACAUAAGAAGCAGCAACAGGCUCAUUUUAAGCUCUGACAUAAAUUAACUUGUGUCCUUCUUAAUAAAAGCGCCAUAUCUGGUUUCUGGAGGACAGCGAUCCGUUGGGACUAAUGCAUUUUCCUCCUGCUGAAGGCCGUGCUGCCGACGACAGAGACGUUUCACACAGGCUCUUGAAAAUGGCAGCCCCUUCACUUGCUCUUAAUCCAGAUAUUUCAAUCUUGACACUUUUAUGGGUGGACAGUCAAAGUUGCACUGCAGUGGAACAAAACAACCCCCCUCCGUUACAGUAGCCGGGGAAUUUGGCUGCAGUGGAGAGACGCAGAUGUGGAAGAUCACAUUUCAGAUGAGCACUGAUAUAUCAAAAGAAAAAACAAGCCUCUGCAACAGCUCUGUGGGAAGGUAUGUUGCACGCUCUCCAUAGGUUAACACAUUUUUGAUGACAUGUUAAGAAAUCUACUCGGUUAAAAAGACGGAUCUUUAGAUGGGUCGACAUGGCGAGACAGCUGAAAUCUUGAAAUAGCUGACAUGCCUGUUGUGGCGGUGUGUUUUCAUCCACCUAUGGCGCCCUCACCGCUAAAAUCUUAGUCACCACAAGUGGAUUGACCUCGCUUUGUAACCCGAGACGUAGUUGUACUUUGGAAUUCACAAACUUUCAUCUCUGCAGUCAAAACCUUUCAUCGCAAAUGGCUCGGCGUCUUGAUCUGCCGUCAGUUAUCUGCCACGAAAAGUAAACAGUGCACACACUUAGAGAAAUAUGGAGUAACAGAGACACUGAGAAACAUUUUAAUUAUGGGAAAGUCACUAACGCUUAAUGUGUUUAAAGGAUUCACAGCUCCAGACCGUGACUAGACGGAGGUUUUAAGAUCGUUUGAAAAGAAGAAACAACUCCAGUGAAAAUAUUUGAUUCGAAGUUGAACUAAAGGAAGUUCUUCUAGAAAAUCAAUUCAAGUCUCAAAUGCAAAAGUAUUCAGGCUGUAAGAGAAGAAAGUAGAUGUCUCAAAUGUAUGCAAAAUCACACAAAAGCAUUAAACUCUGUCCUUCCUCUA
Molecule: RNA transcript, 1883 nt
Organism: Notolabrus celidotus (New Zealand spotty)
Lineage: Eukaryota; Metazoa; Chordata; Actinopteri; Labriformes; Labridae
Gene: tlx2
Gene name: T cell leukemia homeobox 2
Exons: 3
Source: RefSeq, a predicted model, not a curated record